Long non-coding RNA from Motacilla alba alba, 1027 nucleotides. RefSeq lists it as uncharacterized. NCBI's taxonomy places the organism in Eukaryota, Metazoa, Chordata, Aves, Passeriformes, Motacillidae. The transcript is spliced from 7 exons. The record is from RefSeq and is a predicted model, not a curated record.
GCACUUGUCGGGCCCGGGAUGAGCGCUGGCAUGUAUUAUCUGAGCGGAGCUGAUGUCUCUCACCGCUUUAGCUCUAGAAUUACUCUGAGGCGCGGCAAGCCCCCGAUCGCUCCGGCAGUGGAGCUUUUCCCACUUGUGGGAUCGAGUCCUCGUGGCAGCCUGGGAGGCAGCUUGAGGAGAGGGGGACUUGGUUGGGAUCUGCCCCAUUGCCCGGUGGGCUGAGCCGUGGGUUCUGUGCCCCGGCAGGGCUCUCACGUGGCCCGAGUUCCAUGGCUUGGCAGUUUGUGUCCAGGUGUCCGUUUGAGCCUGGGACGUUCUGGCCAGCCCAGAUGUAUGAUCCAGCAUUGUUGAGAGUCCCCAUGGCCGCAGGUGCUGGUGGGGUGUGUCAGGUGUCCGUUUGAGCCUGGGACGUUCUGGGCCAGCCCAGAUGUAUGAUCCAGCAUUGUUGAGAGUCCCAUGGCCACAGGUGCUGGUGGGGUGUGUCAGGUGUCCGGUUGAGCCUGGGACGUUCUGGCCAGCCCAGAUGUAUGAUCCAGCAUUGUUGAGAGUCCCCAUGGCCGCAGGUCCUGGUGGGGUGUGUCAGGUGUCCGGUUGAGCCUGGGAUGUUCUGGCCAGCCCAGAUGUAUGAUCCAGCAUUGUUGAGAGUCCCCAUGGCCGCAGGUCCUGGUGGGGUGUGUCAGGUGUCCGUUUGAGCCUGGGACGUUCUGGCCAGCCCAGAUGUAUGAUCCAGCAUGGUUGAGAGUCCCCAUGGCCGCAGGUCCUGGUGGGGUGUGUCAGGUGUCCGUUUGAGCCUGGGACGUUCUGGCCAGCCCAGAUGUAUGAUCCAGCAUGGUUGAGAGUCCCCAUGGCCGCAGGUCCUGGUGGGGUGUGUCAGGUGAGGUUUGAGGUGACUCAUGUACCAGCAAGGUGCCGGGGCUUUGGAUGUGCAGUGGGAUCUGCAGCAGCUGGGAAGGUGUUGCUGGGUGUGUGCUCAGGGACAGGCAGCUCCCUGUGGCUGUGCUGGGCUCCUGUCAGCUCCCAAGGCAUU